GACGAACGCUGGCGGCGUGCUUAACACAUGCAAGUCGAACGAAAAGAGGGAAAGAGCUUGCUCUUUCCGGAAUUGAGUGGCAAACGGGUGAGUAACACGUAAACAACCUGCCUUCAGGAUGGGGACAACAGACGGAAACGACUGCUAAUACCGAAUAAGUUCCAAGGGCCGCAUGGCCCAUGGAAGAAAAGGUGGCCUCUACCUGUAAGCUAUCGCCUGAAGAGGGGUUUGCGUCUGAUUAGCUGGUUGGAGGGGUAACGGCCCACCAAGGCGACGAUCAGUAGCCGGUCUGAGAGGAUGAACGGCCACACUGGAAUUGAGACACGGUCCAGACUCCUACGGGAGGCAGCAGUGGGGAAUCUUCCGCAAUGGGCGAAAGCCUGACGGAGCAACGCCGCGUGAGUGAUGACGGCCUUCGGGUUGUAAAACUCUGUGAUCCGGGACGAAAAGGCAGAGUGCGAAGAACAAACUGCAUUGACGGUACCGGAAAAGCAAGCCACGGCUAACUACGUA
RNAcentral lists this ribosomal RNA (513 nucleotides) under uncultured bacterium. Its description in RNAcentral is "partial 16S ribosomal RNA". It matches the Rfam family "Bacterial small subunit ribosomal RNA", at positions 28 to 507 of the family's 1533-position model. The record is from RNAcentral.